CUGUAGAAAGGGGUACAAAGUCGGCAAUUUCAAUUUCGAGAAAAACGUGUUUAAAGUUUUGUUGAUUUAUUUCACUGACUUUAAUUGGUAUAAGUCACCAUUUCAUUGUUAGAUUUAUAAAUUUUAACGUACAACAAUUGUUUAAAUUGCAUCCAUAAAAUAUACAUAUUCUCCGACAACGAUGUUACCGAUAGCGACGAGUAUAAUAACAACAAGAUUAUCUCCCUUAUGCAUAUACGUAAUUUCCGGUUGGUAAUUGACAAACAAGAAAUUUUCAAACGUUUUUUGUCUUCAUUUGCUGCUUUUCGAGGAUGCUUCUGUCGAGUUUUGACAGGUAAAUAUCAUUGCAGUUGUAUAAAUUUAAUAUUAAAUUUUAUUAUGUUAAAAUGAUAUAGAAAAAGGCGAAAAUAUUCGUCAAUUGUCAUAAACCCGGAAGUAAACGGAGCAAGACAAAUCGGCCCCUUACCAAAUCGGCCUACUACCAAAUCGGCCCCUAAGACGUUUCGGCCCUGCCAUUUCGUCCCCUUAAUUAAAAUGACUCGAGACGUUUCGGCCCCUUAGUGAUUUUGAACAGAGACAUUUCGGCCCCUUAAUUUGUUUUUAUUUUUUAUCUUGAGUAUAAAGAAAAACAUUGUAGGUCGUCUUAUAAAUGUAAAUGAGAUAUGUAAAUAAGUUGUUAAUAACAUCUUUAAAUUUACAUAGACAAAUAUGCAUGAAAAACAUUGAUAUGACUGAUAUAAAAAUAUAAUUAAAAUCUAAAUACUUAUUAACCCUGAUUUUUAAUAUAAAAUAUUAGAAAAUCUAAGAAAGUUUAUUUGUUAUAACUGUUAAUUAUUAAUUGAUCAUUAAAGACUUCAAAGAAAAUGUGCCUAUGAACCAUGCGUUCUUUACAAGGCAAACGGUAAGUGUUGUGGGUGUGAAAAAGACAUUCAAAGACGUGUGAAUGAAUAAUUGUCUUUAAUUUGUUAAUGAUAUUUACAGUUGAUUAAAGAAGAUUUGAGUAAUAUAAACACCGUUAAAUCGUUUCUAAAAGUGGGUACCAUUUGUUUUAAACGUGUUGCUGUGCUACUGUUAAAUUUUCGUGUAUUGGACAUUAUUAACACGUUGUUGUUCUACUUUUAUUUUAUUGUGUAAUGGAAUGUUGUUAAAAAUUGUAAUGUCUGAUUCGGAUUUUUGUAUUGAGUGAGAUAAGGUUGUGGGACCGUUGGCAGCAUCGAGUCUGCGAUACAGGACAGUAUCCAUGUUACCUGCCCGGCCCCCUCCAUUACAGUUGGGACAUUGCCUGCCAGUCUUCUUUCCCAAUCAUGCCCAACCGAUUGGUCCAAUAUUGUUCAAAACUUGAUGGAAAUGCGGUGUCAUCGUAGUUUGGAGUAUGUGCAGAGCACUCGGGACAACAAGUAGUUCGUUUCUUCGAUGAGACUGAAUUGAAAGGGAGCAGACACUGUUGUGAGCAUGAUGAUCACUUCUUCAAGUACCAUGGCUUGGAGAUAAAAACCCGAAAUAAAUUGGCACUUUGGUCUUAGCAGCAAACAGGCCUGGCUUUGUGCAGUGCAGGUUUGCUGCAUGGGUGAUGGUUUAGUUUACCUGAUGAAAACCAGAGCAGUUGUGUACCCUGAACUCCUUUCCGAAUUCUUCAUCAAGGGGAUGGAUCUUGAAUGGCAGUGGUAUUAACAUGACAAGAUCAGAGAAUACAGCAGAUUCGACAUUGAAAGAGACAGUGUGCCCUAGACAGUCUCAACCAAAGCAUUGAACAAACUGUACAACCUGUUAAUUAACUUUUUAGAGCUGUUUGUUUGGACUAGUGUUUGUCAUUCAGAAAUAAGUAAUAACAUUAUUUCUCAGUAUAAGAAAUCUGUAGGAAUUAGAAGCUGAUAUUUACUGUAACUAUAUAAACAAACCUCUUAGAGGUUUAGCCUUAGACAGGGAGCUACAGAAAAGAGACAGGUUUGCAUGUUUCAAUAGGACACCCUUCAUUUAUCUGUGAAGAAUUUUAACAUUUUGAAUGUUACAGAAAAUGUUAGGAAUAUUGUAUAAUGUUUAAUUGAAGUACUAUUAGGUUUCAAGUGCCAAAUAUGUAAAGCCUGUGUGUAUUUAUAAUCUUGUGAAUAUAAAGUUGUUAUCAAAACAAAAUCAAUAUUUGACUGUCUUAAGCUUUUAAUUCUAUGAAGGCAGGAGGUUGCCAAUCUUACUCUUCAUGACGGGUGCUUCCAAAAAAGAACAGGGUGCAGAAACUUCCAUAACUCUUGCUAGAACCCUAAUAUCCUUUUUCAUCAAAUUACAGUAACAUUGACAAUUAACAAAUGAUGCAGUGAUAAUUUUCUUAUGCUAAUAUCAUCAAUUUUUAUUGUCAUUAAGUUUUCCUCUAGAAUUGAUUUGUACAUGACUGUAAUGUAUUGAAAAUUGAUACUUGUGGUUGCCAUGGUUACAACUUGUUUCUUAGUGUAGUAAUAUGUUAUAUAUAUAUAUAAAUACAAUAUUGCGUUAUGUAAACUUAUAAUAUUUUAAGAAAUAAUGAUUCAAACACAUGUACAGAGACAAUAAAUACACUACUCUGUAUUUUUGUUGCCAUGGCAAUGUUUCUGUGUAUAUUUGUUACAUUUAUUUUUUUUAUUACAGGAUUGUCCAUUUUAAUAGUGAAAUUAUAAUGUGUAUAAUAAGCAUAGCUACAAAAUGCAUAGAUACUUAAAUUACCUAUUUCUGGAUGUACAUUUUCUUCAUAUUUCGAUAAUAGAAUAGGUUUUGUACACUGAGCCCCCUUGGACUUAAAUCACCAUAGCAACAAAAGUCUUAAACAUUUUGAAUAAUUUUUUUUUUAAUAUAUUUGUAAAGUGUCUGCCAAUGCUUAGGUUAUUUCAGUACUUUUUAAGAGCGGCGUGUGUGAUCCCUUUUACGUUUGAUAUUGAAUUGCAUCGUAUUGUGGUUGUCAUGGUAACAUUUUGAUUGCCAUUUAAAACUUCAAUCAUAAUUUUACAAGAAUUUUGUCACCAGUUCAAUAAUAUGUUAUUUUGUGUAAGAUAUUUAACUACAAAUUAUAUAAAGACAUAAAAAACA
This is a long non-coding RNA of Mya arenaria, 3051 nucleotides long. RefSeq lists it as uncharacterized. The record is from RefSeq and is a predicted model, not a curated record. NCBI's taxonomy places the organism in Eukaryota, Metazoa, Mollusca, Bivalvia, Myida, Myidae. The transcript has 4 exons.